RNAcentral lists this ribosomal RNA (467 nucleotides) under uncultured bacterium. RNAcentral describes it as "partial 16S ribosomal RNA". It matches the Rfam family "Bacterial small subunit ribosomal RNA", at positions 28 to 507 of the family's 1533-position model. The record is from RNAcentral.
GACGAACGCUGGCGGCGUGCUUAACACAUGCAAGUCGAACGGAAAGGCCUCUUUCGGGGGGUACUCGAGUGGCGAACGGGUGAGUAACACGUGAGUAACCUGCCCUUGACUUUGGGAUAACUUCAGGAAACUGGGGCUAAUACCGGAUAGGAGCUCCUGCUGCAUGGUGGGGGUUGGAAAGUUUCGGCGGUUGGGGAUGGACUCGCGGCUUAUCAGCUUGUUGGUGGGGUAGUGGCUUACCAAGGCUUUGACGGGUAGCCGGCCUGAGAGGGUGACCGGCGACAUUGAGACUGAGAGACGGCACAGACUCCGACGGGAGGCAGAAGUGGGGAAGAUUGCACAAUGGGUGCAGGCCUGAUGCAGCAACGCCGUGUGCGGGAUGACGGCCUUCGGGUUGUAGACCGCUUUCGCUCAUGACGAAGCUUUGUGUGACGGUAGUGGGUAAAGAAGCACCGGCUAACUACGUG